This 76-nucleotide transfer RNA is filed under the name Deltaproteobacteria bacterium. RNAcentral's name for it is "tRNA-His". It matches the Rfam family "tRNA". Rfam says of the family: Transfer RNA (tRNA) molecules are approximately 80 nucleotides in length. Lineage: Bacteria; Pseudomonadati; Myxococcota; Myxococcia. The record is from RNAcentral.
GUGGGUGUAGCUCAGUUGGUAGAGCACCGGAUUGUGGUUCCGGGUGUCGCGGGUUCAAAUCCCGUCUCCCACCCCA